Molecule: non-coding RNA, 237 nt
Organism: Hydra vulgaris (swiftwater hydra)
Lineage: Eukaryota; Metazoa; Cnidaria; Hydrozoa; Anthoathecata; Hydridae
Source: RefSeq, a predicted model, not a curated record
UGUUUGCUCUGAGAAGUUGAAUGAACAAAUUUAUUAAAUGAUAAAGUUGUAUCCUUGAAAGAUAUGCUGGUAUUAUUGGCACAAUGGGCAAGCAUUGAAGUGCAACUUGGUGAACUACAAAAUUCAUCAAAUUCAGUUAUAAAAAUUUGAGUAUCAAAGGUAUGCUAAUUAUUGUAUUGCCUGAAAGAGUGUCAUUGCCAUUAAAAGCAGUGAAGAAUUCAAGUACUCUGGAAGAAA